UCCUUAGUACCGCCCCUUUGCUUCAGGGAGAUGGCUGCUGCUCAUACCGCUGGCUGCUACCUGGGCGUCGAUUUGAGCACCCAACAGAUGAAAGCCAUGGCCAUUGAUGAUAAUCUGAAUGUGAUCCAUGAGACUAAUGUAAAGUUUGAUGAGGAUUUGCCAGAAUUUGGAACUCAGGGUGGUGUCCACGUACAUGAUGACAAGCUGACUGUUACAACACCAGUGCUACUGUGGGUAAAGGCCCUGGAUAUACUUCUAGAAAGGAUGAAAACCUCAAACUUUGAUUUUUCUAAAUUGAAAUCCUUGUCUGGCACUGGUCAACAACAUGGUAGUGUUUAUUGGAAAGAGGGAGCCAAACAGACCUUGAAUAAUAUGUCCAGCGAUCAUUCCCUGUAUCAGAUAUUGGAGUCUAGUUUUGCUGUAAAAGACUCUCCUAUCUGGAUGGACUCCAGUACCACUGCAGAAUGCCAGCAACUAGAAAAGUCUGUUGGAGGGCCACAGAAACUUGCUGACAUCACCGGAUCACGUGCUUACGAGCGCUUCACGGGAAAUCAAGUUGCAAAGGUUAACAAAAAGAACCCUGAAGAUUACAAGAGAACUGAGAGAAUCUCUCUCGUUAGUAGUUUUGUUGCUUCCCUAUUUCUUGGAGACUAUGCUGCAAUUGAUUAUAGUGAUGGUUCUGGUAUGAAUUUGAUGGAUAUCCAUGCACAUGAGUGGUCACAGCAGUGCCUUGAUGCGUGUGCACCCGGUCUGAAGGAGAAGCUUGGUGUUCCACUCCCAUCACACACUAUUCUGGGUUCAGUUUCUCCAUACUAUGUAAAACGCUUUGGAUUCAGUUCUGAGUGUAAAGUUAUUGCUUUUACAGGUGACAAUCCAGCAUCACUGGCAGGAAUGAGACUUCACCAAGGGGAUAUAGCAGUAAGCCUUGGGACAAGUGAUACUGCCUUUCUCUGGAUCCAGGAUCCUAAACCCACCUUAGAAGGACAUGUCUUCUGUAAUCCUGUUGACAGCAGUGCCUACAUGGCACUCAUAUGUUUUAAGAAUGGCUCCUUGACGAGAGAGAAGGUCCGUGAUGAAAGGGCUUCUCGUUCGUGGGAUGAAUUUGCAAAAGUACUGAAAACCACUUGUCCUGGAAAUAAUGGAAAUUUAGGAUUUUAUUUUGAUGUGAUGGAGAUCACCCCAGCUGUAGUAGGUAUUCAUCGAUUCAAUUCCAAAAACUGCAGGGUUUCCGAGUUUCCCAAAGAUGUGGAGGUCCGGGCAGUGAUAGAGGGACAAAUGCUGGCUAAAAGGGCAUAUGCUGAGAAGCUGGGCUUCAAAGUCUUGAAGGGAACCAGAGUACUGGCAACGGGAGGGGCUUCUUCAAACCCAGAUAUACUAAAGGUCUUGGCAGAUGUUUUCAAUGCCCCAGUGUACACAAUAGACACAGCUAAUUCAGCCUGCCUGGGAUGCGCUUACAGAGCAAAACACGGAGUGCAAGCAGCAUCAGGACAGCCCUUUGCUGACACUGUGAAAAUGGCACCAGCACCAAAGCUAGCAGUCAACCCAACCUGUGAAAUAGAUAAGGCCAGUUUGACACAGUUAACUUGAAGAUAGAGGUUGAAGAUCAAACAUCAAAGUUCAUAUAGCAUUCUCCACAUGUGUGAAACCUGCCAAUGGAAUCAUCAGUUAUAAAUGCAAUUUUUCUAGAGAUCGGACAACUGAGUUUUACAAGCUGGUAAAUAACUUUCUGUGUGUCUGGUAUAUGGACCAAUGCUGGCACGAUAUUUGGAACUAGAAAAGUUGGUGCGGAAUGGCUGCUGAUCAACGAAAAACAUCAAUAUGAAUGCCAGAAUUUUCUGCCCCUGAUACCUGUACUGCCUCUUUGCGAUAGCUAUUUUAGUCCCAUACAACAUAAUGGAAAUUAUUCUUUGUUAAGUGCAAAUCCAUUUGCCUUUUAAAAAUUUCUGUGACAUUUGAUUCACCACACUUUUAGGUACUGUGUUCUAGAUCUUAAUAGUCUUCUGCAUAAAGGCAUUUCUUCUAGUUCUUCCCUUCAAUGCAUUUACCUUAAUUCUAGGAUCUUUGGCUGCCACUUUAAUUGUUUGAGAAUUCUUGAGUUUUGUUUUUCUUUAUCAAAACUUGGUGUAAUUUUGAUUUUAAAAAAUUACGUCUCCCUUUAUCUUUUCUGCUCAAAAGGAGAAUAGUAGAAAUUUGUCCGUUCUCUUGAUAGAACCCUGUCUCCUGCCUGAUACCAUCCUGCUAAACCUUUCUCAUCUACAGGACUUAUAAAUCCUGCCUUGAUGUGGUGGUGCAGAAUUGUACAUAUUUCUCCAACUGAAGCCGAAUAUAAAAAUUUGUUUAGAUUUGGAAUGACUUACUCAUUUUUAUAUUCAGUGCUCCUAAUGGCAAAACCUAGAACCCUAGAAAUUUUUGAACCACAGAUAUCAACACUUUGAUUUGUUAAUAUGCAUCUCCAGGUUCCUUUGUUCCCACACCUCCCUCAAAAUAGUAUCAUUAAGAUUAUACAUCCUCUCCAUGUUUCUUGUACAGUAUCUGGCAGUUAAAACACGAAGUCCCAUAGCCUAUUUCACCAGUCAGUUCACUUCCCUGAAAUCUGCAGUUGCACUGCUCACUAGUUACUAUAUUAUCAAGUUUCGUAUCAUCUGCGAACUUCAAAAUCAGGUUCCCUGUACCCAGAUAUAGGUUAUUAAGCUGUAGCAAAUUGAUUGACAGAAUGCUGAUUCAUUAUAGUUCAUAAAGAAUUCAACUCAAACAUUUUUAGAUCAGAAGGGCGGCACGGUGGCGCCGUGGUUAGCACUGCUGCCUCACAGCGCCGGGGAUCUGUGUUUGAUUCCACCCUCGGGUGACUGUCUGUGUGGAGUUUGCACAUUCUCCCUGUGUCUGCGAGCGUUUCCUCCGGGUGCUCCGGUUUCCUCCCACUGUCCAAAGACAUGUGGGUAAGUGGCCAUGCUAAAUUGCCCCGUAGUGCCCAGAGAUGUGUUGGUUAGAUGGAUUGGCCAAUGGGAAAUGCAUUGUUGGGGUAGGGGGCUGGGUCUGAGUGGGAUGCUGUUCCAGUGGUUGGUGUGGAAUCGAUGGGCUGAAUGGCUUGCUUCCACUCUGUAGGGAUUCUAUGAUUCAGAAGAAAUAAAGUCAAUUUCUGCAAAUGGCAUAUUUUUACCUCGUAGUGCCUCGUGUUUUCUCAUAUUUUCUUGGUCUGCUCAUUUUGGAGUUCCCAUACUUCCGAGGAAGAAGCAGAGACCCAUUCUCCUCUCCCUCCACUGUUGAAGUGAUUAGCUUGUGUCAUAGGAAUCUUUAUAUGGUUCCACUAUGCAUUGGACCGGGGAGCAAGUGAGUUCUAUUCAGAAUGGUGUGACUCCAGGGACACAGCAGUAGAGUGCCAGAAUUUUUGCUCCAUGCACAAGGCAGUUCAAUAUUAACAUAAAUCUUAAUUUUCCAGUCUCCAAUACCAUGUUGUUUGAAAAUUCAGGGGAACCUGCCCACCACAAGGGAUUGGGUGCCAAAAUUCUCCAUGACCUUGGCCCCUUAGAAAUUAAGAGCAACCAGUCAAAGUUUUUUAAAAUAUAGUUUCUGAUUUUAACGUUUCAGGGAAGGCCCUUGGUCUGGACCCCUUGUUAGGGUUAUUAGCCAGAAAGCCAAGAGAAAUACACAGGUUUCCAAAUGAAUUAGGCUGACAUGGAGUCCAGAUAUAAAGUACUACCAGGUCUGGCUGAAGACAUUUCCCAACCAACCCCUCACCCCUGCCCAAGAUGGUAGUCCUACUAUACGAAACUGAGUUGAAUGGCAGAAUGUUAAAAUCCUGAAAAGCAGAAACCAGUAUGAGCAGGACCGGAGGAUCUGUUUCCAUGCUGAUUGUCUCUAUGACUCUAAUGCUGUAAAAGUAGGAUUGGGAACAGGCCAUGCAGGAUUGUUUGAAAAAGAUCAAGAGUUCUAGCCUUGAGAUCCUGGGGAACAAAUACAGAGAGACUUGACAUGAGUUCAUGGCGUUGAUUAAUGCAGUGAUGAGGCAAUAAGGAGGAAGAGAAAAGUUAAAAAUGAUGAGUGAGAGAUUGAAUACUAAAUGUGCAAAGGAGUCACUUGUCAAAAGUCAGACUGUAACUUCUGCCUUGGAGAAGCUCAUCAUCUGGUAAAUGUUCCCUGCAGGAACUUGAAAGAAGUGUUUAGAAAUCUUGUUAAACUUGGGAGGAAUAUUCCAGUGGAUGUGAAUUUUAUAGAAAAAAGAGUUUUUAAGAGUUAUUAAGUUGUUUGUUACAGAAGCAGAAUAGGUUUCUUUAAAUACACAAAUGAUUGCAUUUAUGAUCAAAGAGAUGAUAGAUUUACUUCUACUACAAUACAGCUGGAUAUAGAGUUAUAGAGCACAAAAACAGACCCUUCAGUCCAAUCUGUGCAUACUAACCAGAUAUCCUAAACUAAUCUAGACCCCUUUUCCAUGUAUAUCAGCACGAAGCUUGCAUGUUAGCUGGACCGAAUGUUGGAUCUCAUGCAGGAAGUGAAUCUGACUUAGGAAACAGUUCGGAAGGGCUCAACCAGAGAGAAAGUGUCCUCUCAGGUUUUGGGAUGCUCCACUGGGGACCUUGGUGGAAGAAAGGGAGAGAUAUCCUCCAUCCAUUGAGGGGAAGGAAAUCCUCCAGAUACACAUUGAUUUGGAAUGUACAUUUGCGAUUGUGUUUAUUUUUGCAUUAUGUCCAAGAUGAAGUUUGAUAGUCAAUGGUUGGAGGAAGCUUAGGUGUGAUAUUGCUGGUAAAUGAAGAGGGUGGUUUGCAACUUUUGCUGUCACAUUCAAAUUAGUUCUUCACGGAAUGACUGGGCAAAAGUGGGCUGGUAAUCUUCCCACUUUCACUUCCUCCUUUUUCCUUUAUUUCCCCUUUCUUCCUUCCUCUCCCGAACAGCAUUCCUUGUCCUACAUGAUCUCUGUUCAUUGUCCUUGUCAUACUAUAUUCUGAGGGGAAUGCCUAUUAGUGCAACCACACCUGGGAACAACUGGUUUGUGCAGAAGCCACAGAUUUCAAGAGAAUGCCCUACAUCACUAGUCAUAGCAUCUCUGUAGACAUUUACAUGUUGAAAGAAGUAAAGAUUUCACCACACAUUUGCCAAAUCAUUGCAUUGGCCAAGAGAGGGUUAAGCCCUUAUUACACUGUAAAGAGUUAUGAUCUCCUUCUGUAGCAGUUGUUAGGGAAUCUUUACCAAUCUAGAAUGCAUAAUCAACAAUAGGAGCUGAAGUGAACUUAUUGGCUGGCUCAUUAAAAUCAAUAUGGUCUUGUUGCCAUUGAAUUAGGGUUGCAAGCUGUUAUGAUUUCAGAAGAAGGAAGAAGAAGCGUGGUGGUUUGUGAUGCAGAGUGAUGCCAACAAUGUGGAGUCAAUUCCUCUACCAGCUGAGUUUACUAUGAAAGCUUUACCUUCUCAACCUCGCCUGAUGCAUGGUGACCUCAGGUUAAACUCACCAGCAGUCCUUCUGUGAUGAGAGAGCAGCCCUGUGGUCCUCUGGGACUCUGGCAACUACUGAUCAUGGUAGAUACAAGCUCUAGAUUGAUGUGUUUUGCAGGUUGUGGAUAAAGCUGUAAUAAUUUGUUACAGGAAUAUGAAACAAAUUAUAUCACAUUUAUAAAUAAA
This is an RNA transcript of Stegostoma tigrinum, 5607 nucleotides long. It is a transcript of the gene named xylulokinase homolog (H. influenzae), with no coding region annotated. The record is from RefSeq and is a predicted model, not a curated record. The transcript has 20 exons. NCBI's taxonomy places the organism in Eukaryota, Metazoa, Chordata, Chondrichthyes, Orectolobiformes, Stegostomatidae.